CAACUUUCAGCAACGGAUCUCUUGGCUCUCGCAUCNAUGAACAACGCUGCGAAAUGCGAUAAGUAAUGUGAAUUGCAUAAUUCAGUGAAUCAUCGAAUCUUUGAACGCACCUUGCGCUCCUUGGUAUUCCCAGGAGCAUGCCUGUUUGAGUGUCAUU
RNAcentral lists this ribosomal RNA (157 nucleotides) under Dictyocephalos attenuatus. RNAcentral's name for it is "5.8S ribosomal RNA". It matches the Rfam family "5.8S ribosomal RNA". Rfam says of the family: 5.8S ribosomal RNA (5.8S rRNA) is a component of the large subunit of the eukaryotic ribosome. The record is from RNAcentral. Lineage: Eukaryota; Fungi; Basidiomycota; Agaricomycetes; Agaricales; Agaricaceae.